RNAcentral lists this ribosomal RNA (467 nucleotides) under uncultured bacterium. RNAcentral describes it as "partial 16S ribosomal RNA". It matches the Rfam family "Bacterial small subunit ribosomal RNA", at positions 28 to 507 of the family's 1533-position model. The record is from RNAcentral.
GACGAACGCUGGCGGCGUGCUUAACACAUGCAAGUCGAACGGAAAGGCCUCUUUCGGGGGGUACUCGCGUGGCGAACGGGGGAGUAACACAUGAGUAUCCCGCCCUUUACUUUGUGAUAAAUCUUGGAAACUGUGGCUAUAACACGAUAGAGGCUCCCCUGCCACGUGGGGGGUGGGAGAGUUUCGGGGGUUGGGGAUGGGCUCGCGGCUUUUCAGCUUGUUGGGGGGGGAGUGGCUUUCCAAAGGUUUGUCGGGUAGCCGGGCUGGGAGGGUGACCGGGCACAUUGGGACUGAGAUACGGCCCAGACUCCUACGGGGGGCAGGAGUGGGGAAUAUUGCACAAUGGGUGGAAGCCUGAUGCAGCAACGCCGGGUGCGGGAUGACGGGCUUCGGGUUGUAAACCGCUUUCGCUCAUGACGAAGCUUUGUGUGACGGUAGUGGGUAAAGAAGCACCGGCUAACUACGUG